Molecule: RNase P RNA, 333 nt
Filed under: Candidatus Karelsulcia muelleri
Lineage: Bacteria; Pseudomonadati; Bacteroidota; Flavobacteriia; Flavobacteriales
Also listed under: 1 other name
Description: Candidatus Sulcia muelleri (insect metagenome) RNase P RNA component class A
Rfam family: Bacterial RNase P class A
About the family: Ribonuclease P (RNase P) is a ubiquitous endoribonuclease, found in archaea, bacteria and eukarya as well as chloroplasts and mitochondria. Its best characterised activity is the generation of mature 5'-ends of tRNAs by cleaving the 5'-leader elements of precursor-tRNAs. Cellular RNase Ps are ribonucleoproteins.
Source: RNAcentral
AAAGGAGACUACUUUAUCGCGUUUAUUUAUAUUUUAAAUAAAAUGAGGAAAGUCUGGACACAUUAGGGGAACACAUCGGGUAAUAACCGUCCAUCGUGAGAUGAGGAAUUGUGCAACAGAAAUAAAGUACAGUUUGGCUGUAGUGAAAUAUUGUAAACUCUGUGUUGUGAAAUGCUAUAUAUACCGGAUACUUUUUUUUUAAAAAAAGUGUAGUUUUCCCUUUAACUAAUUAAUUCGGGGGGUGGGCAGAUAUAGGUAAAAGGUAACUUUUAUCACAGAUAAAUGAUAAAAAAUAUUAAAUAACAUAAUCCGGCUUAUAAGUCUGUUUUUAUA